This 478-nucleotide non-coding RNA is filed under the name Fulmarus glacialis (Northern fulmar). Its description in RNAcentral is "Eukaryotic small subunit ribosomal RNA". It matches the Rfam family "Eukaryotic small subunit ribosomal RNA", at positions 633 to 1107 of the family's 1831-position model. The record is from Rfam by way of RNAcentral. Lineage: Eukaryota; Metazoa; Chordata; Aves; Procellariiformes; Procellariidae.
GUUCACUUGGUAUUCAUAAGAUGACAUAUUUUGUAAACUAUUGCUUAGUAAAUACCAGAACAAGUUGCAAGCAGUUUAUUGGAAUUUUAAGGUUAAAAUGCCAUAAAGUUUUACAUUUCAUAUUCAGAGUUGAUAUUUGGGUGGCUUCAGAACACAGUCAAUUUUACAAUCUGGAACAGGAGUCCAGUUCUAUUUUGUUGGUUUUCAGAAACGGGGCCAUGAUUAAGAGGGACAGCUGGGGGCAGGAGUAUUGUGCCGUUAGAGGUGAAAUUCUUGGACCUGCGCAAUACAGCCUCGAGCAAAACCAUUUGCCAAGAAUGCUUUCAUUAAUCAAGAAUGAAAGCCAGAGCUUUGAAGACAAUCAGAUACUGUCAUAGUUCCAACCAUAAACAAUGCCAACUGGCAAUAGGCAUUUUUUUGGGUGUCUCUGUGGCGCAAUCGGUUAGCGCGUUCGGCUGUUAACCGAAAGGUUGGUGGU